AUGCUGGGCACUGGAGCUACCCAGAGGAAUGCACAUCGCUCCCCUCGAGGAGCUCACAGUCUAGCAU
This 67-nucleotide microRNA precursor is filed under the name Callithrix jacchus (white-tufted-ear marmoset). RNAcentral's name for it is "microRNA cja-mir-151 precursor". Its record names the gene cja-mir-151. Lineage: Eukaryota; Metazoa; Chordata; Mammalia; Primates; Cebidae. The record is from miRBase by way of RNAcentral.